This 292-nucleotide unclassified non-coding RNA is filed under the name uncultured Chthoniobacteraceae bacterium. Its description in RNAcentral is "contains 16S-23S intergenic spacer region". Lineage: Bacteria; Pseudomonadati; Verrucomicrobiota; Spartobacteria; Chthoniobacterales; Chthoniobacteraceae. The record is from RNAcentral.
GGACUACAAGGGUUUCUAAUCCCGUUUGCUCCCCUGGCCUUCGUGCCUCAGUGUCAGGAACUGCCCAGGCAUUCGCCUUCGCCACUGGUCUUCCUCACGAUAUCUACGCAUUUCACUGCUACACCGUGAAUUCCAAUGCCCUCUACAGUCCUCUAGCAAAGCAGUAUCGAAUGCAGUUUCCAAGUUGAGCUUGGAGAUUUCACAUCCGACUUACCUCGCCACCUACGCACCCUUUACGCCCAAUGAAUCCGAACAACGCUUGAGACCUCUGUAUUACCGCGGCUGCUGGCAC